UACAGAGGUCUCAAGCGUUGUUCGGAUUCAUUGGGCGUAAAGGGUGCGUAGGUGGCGCGCUAAGUCAGAUGUGAAAUUUCGGGGCUCAGCCCCGAAACUGCAUUUGAUACUGGCGUGCUCGAGGACUGGAGAGGAGACUGGAAUUCACGGUGUAGCAGUGAAAUGCGUAGAUAUCGUGAGGAAGACCAGUGGCGAAGGCGGGUCUCUGGACAGUUCCUGACACUGAGGCACGAAGGCCAGGGGAGCAAACGGG
This 253-nucleotide ribosomal RNA is filed under the name uncultured bacterium. Its description in RNAcentral is "partial 16S ribosomal RNA". It matches the Rfam family "Bacterial small subunit ribosomal RNA", at positions 524 to 776 of the family's 1533-position model. The record is from RNAcentral.